GACGAACGCUGGCGGCGUGCCUAAUACAUGCAAGUUGAGCGCUGAAGGUUGGUACUUGUACCAACUGGAUGAGCAGCGAACGGGUGAGUAACGCGUGGGGAAUCUGCCUUUGAGCGGGGGACAACAUUUGGAAACGAAUGCUAAUACCGCAUAAAAACUUUAAACACAAGUUUUAAGUUUGAAAGAUGCAAUUGCCUCACUCAAAGAUGAUCCCGCGUUGUAUUAGCUAGUGGGUGAGGUAAAGGCUCACCAAGGCGAGGAUACAUAGCCGACCUGAGAGGGUGCUCGGCCACAUUGGGACUGAGACACGGCCCAAACGCCUACGGGAGGCAGCAGUAGGGAAUCUUCGGCAAUGGAAGAAAGUCUGACCGAGCAACGCCGCGGGAGUGCAGAAGGUUUUCGGAUCGUAAAACUCUGUUGGUAGAGAAGAACGUUGGUGAGAGUGGAAAGCUCAUCAAGUGACGGUAACUACACAGAAAGGGACGGCUAACUACGUG
Molecule: ribosomal RNA, 497 nt
Filed under: uncultured bacterium
Lineage: Bacteria
Description: partial 16S ribosomal RNA
Rfam family: Bacterial small subunit ribosomal RNA
Source: RNAcentral